UACGGGGGGGGCAAGCGUUGUUCGGAAUUACUGGGCGUAAAGGGCUCGUAGGUGGCCAACUAAGUCAGACGUGAAAUCCCUCAGCUUAACUGGGGAACUGCGUCUGAUACUGGAUGGCUUGAGUUUGGGAGAGGGACGCGGAAUUCCAGGUGUAGCGGUGAAAUGCGUAGAUAUCUGGAGGAACGCCGGUGGCGAAGGCGGCGUCCUGGACCAGCACUGACACUGAUGAGCGAAAGCCAGGGGAGCAAACGGG
This 253-nucleotide ribosomal RNA is filed under the name uncultured bacterium. RNAcentral's name for it is "partial 16S ribosomal RNA". It matches the Rfam family "Bacterial small subunit ribosomal RNA", at positions 524 to 776 of the family's 1533-position model. The record is from RNAcentral.